This is a long non-coding RNA of Cajanus cajan (pigeon pea), 1890 nucleotides long. RefSeq lists it as uncharacterized. Lineage: Eukaryota; Viridiplantae; Streptophyta; Magnoliopsida; Fabales; Fabaceae. The record is from RefSeq and is a predicted model, not a curated record.
CAGUCUACUAUGAUGACUGAUGAGGCACAUCCUAUGGUAUUGGUUCCCAAAAGUGUGUCAUGUGGAAAAUCAAGCCAAGCAAGUCUUCUGCAAUUGCUUGGAAAUUGAUGAGGCUUGGGAAAAGAAUUUGGCUAUCUUGAAUGUUCCUUGCCUCAUUAUAAAACAGAAAACUACUACAUUUAGAAAAACAGAAAACCACACCAGCAUUGAUAGCAGAGAGAACUGACAAAAUUUGAAAUUAGUGUUUACCCUUUGAUUGUUUUUCAUGUCUUCUGAGCCUCCUUUUUUCCACAGAAUAAUUUCUAAUGCUUGGAAAGGCUUAGCCAUUCCAAGAUCUCAGGACGAAGGUAACCACCUUCUAUCCUCACCCAGCAGUGUAACCAGAAUCAGGUCCUUCACUUUAACACUGCCUCAGAACCAUGGUUCUGAUCGCUUGCCACUGUACCAUGUUAACGCAACUGAGAUACAAAAACUAGACUACCACCCCAACCCCAACCCCAAACACAAAACUCCCUUAAAUCUAUCAUUAAAAAUUGUUUGUAUGACCUUUGCUGCUUUAGGGUACCCAACAAUGUCUGCAUCCCAAUAUCAACCUUCUAUCCUUGGACCUGCUAUGAUGGUUGCUUUUGCAGCUUCACUCUCGGCGAUUUUCAUCAAGAGUUCCUACCCACGGCUUGCAGCAAUUGUUGCAAUAAUUGGGUAUCUCUCUUUUACUCUCAGUUUCUUGGUAAUGACCAAAGUUUUCUUCACUGGAAAUUUAAUCUUGUGGGGUAUCAUAGGAGGGCUGGCUAUGGUUUGGAUCAUAAUAGCCCUCCUUAUACGCUUCUUUGCAUGAAGCCUAUCUGUAGGGGUCAUAAAAUCUCCGAACUAAGUAAAUGAUUGAUUGAUCUAUUGCGGUUUUAAAAGUUUCCUUGAUGGUAUCAAAAGUACAAUUGUCGACACGUACCACAAUUGUCCAUAAUUUAUAUUAUCAUAUAUCAACUACUAUAACCGCAAUUUAUACUGAUGAUCAAUUAAGUAUCAGUUUACAAGGUGCAAGGGAUGUUGUGACUUCUACUAUCUUAGCCAUCGUGCUGAUGGCUUGCAUUGUGCUACAUCCACAACAACUACAUCUACUUUUUUCCCUUCUAUCAUAGUAUAUCAGUAAACUUUGCAGUCUGUAUUUUAAUCCGGAAUCGAGAUCGUACAUCGUUACACCAUAAGUCAAUCAUCAGAAACCAUUUAUAUUUCUAUGGCUUUUACCUGAUAGCUAUUAGCCAGAGUCAGUGUAGUGUUAACUGCAAAUGGGCAAAACAGAUACUCUCCCAAUGUAUGGUCUGUGAGCUCUUUGUAACCUUAAUAUGGUUCACACCGCACAAGAAAGUAAACUAGCCUACAUAUGCCACAAAAAAACAACUAUUUAUUCCUAGUCAAACAGAUAUUGUAGCUGUCACCAUUCAACAGCAACCUCAGCUUGGCUUCGAACAUACAAGUUUUCGUCUAGCCUACUCCAGGCAGUAAUCAAGUAAAAACCAAUUACUAGGUAGAUCUUAAUGAUCUGCUGCAUAUAAGAACGUGGCAACUUGUGAAGUAUUUGAAUCAAAUAUUGGCUAACACGACUCUGGAAGAGAAAUUAUCGUAUCUGAUGUGAGGCAUAUCAAGUCACUAUCUCAUCGUACUGAAUCGAAGUUGAAAUAGAGUAAACAAAGUGGAUUGAAAUUUGAGGGAUUUAUUACACAUAAGUCCCGAAAGUUUUUUAUUCCUCCCAUUUAAUGGGUACCCUACCCUUGUAUUUGUAGUCAAGUGCUAUUAAGAACUUAUUAGGAUUAUGUCCUAUGUUUAUUAAUAUCAUUAGAAUCUAUGGUAAGAUGUUGGAUGCAGCAAUUAAUUUACUAUGAAGAUUUUACUUUA